GACGGUAUCGGAGGGGGUAAUUUUCAAAGAGUUUAGCGCAGCGGAUUAAAAAAUACUCAGAGAGCGUAAAGCGUAAUAGGUCACAGUUAAAAUGAUUUUAGCCCUUUUUAACAAAAAUAAUUUUAUUUCAGAAAAUUAGCCAAACAGUUGAUGUGCGUUAGGAAAUGAGUGUAGGGAAUAGAAAAAUCACACGAGUAUUUUUAUACUGGUUCGAUUCAACAGAAUCUACGUCCAGUCGUUAAUCACUACAAAGAGUGAUUAACAGUUCCACUAAAAAACAGUUUUACAAAUUACAAGAUAAAGAACAGAAUAUAGAACGAAAAGAACCACUCUACCAACUUGAAGAGAACCGCUCCGGC
RNAcentral lists this long non-coding RNA (359 nucleotides) under Vigna radiata. RNAcentral describes it as "long non-coding RNA (VRAD_LNC006390)". The record is from RNAcentral. Lineage: Eukaryota; Viridiplantae; Streptophyta; Magnoliopsida; Fabales; Fabaceae.